GACGUAGGGCGCAAGCGUUGUCCGGAUUUAUUGGGCGUAAAGAGCUCGUAGGCGGUUCGUCGCGUCGGCUGUGAAAACCCGGAGCUCAACUCCGGGCCUGCAGUCGAUACGGGCGGACUUGAGUGUUGCAGGGGAGACUGGAAUUCCUGGUGUAGCGGUGAAAUGCGCAGAUAUCAGGAGGAACACCGGUGGCGAAGGCGGGUCUCUGGGCAACUACUGACGCUGAGGAGCGAAAGCGUGGGGAGCGAACAGG
Molecule: ribosomal RNA, 253 nt
Filed under: uncultured bacterium
Lineage: Bacteria
Description: partial 16S ribosomal RNA
Rfam family: Bacterial small subunit ribosomal RNA
Source: RNAcentral